CCUACGGGUGGCAGCAGUGAGGAAUAUUGGUCAAUGGACGAGAGUCUGAACCAGGCAAGUAGCGUGAAGGAUGACUGCCCUAUGGGUUGUAAACUUCUUUUAUAUGGGAAUAAAAUGUUCCACGUGUGGGAUUUUGUAUGUACCAUAUGAAUAAGGAUCGGCUAACUCCGUGCCAGCAGCCGCGGUAAUACGGAGGAUCCGAGCGUUAUCCGGAUUUAUUGGGUUUUAAGGGAGCGUAGGUGGAUUGUUAAGUCAGUUGUGAAAGUUUGCGGCUCAACCGUAAAAUUGCAGUUGAAACUGGCAGUCUUGAGUACAGUAGAGGUGGGCGGAAUUCGUGGUGUAGCGGUGAAAUGCUUAGAUAUCACGAAGAACUCCGAUUGCGAAGGCAGUUCACUGGACUGCAACUGACACUGAGGCUCGAAAGUGUGGGUAUCAAACAGGAUUAGAUACCCUGGUAGUC
RNAcentral lists this ribosomal RNA (460 nucleotides) under uncultured bacterium. RNAcentral's name for it is "partial 16S ribosomal RNA". It matches the Rfam family "Bacterial small subunit ribosomal RNA", at positions 338 to 795 of the family's 1533-position model. The record is from RNAcentral.